This 50-nucleotide transfer RNA is filed under the name Elaphoglossum subcinnamomeum. Its description in RNAcentral is "partial tRNA-Leu". Lineage: Eukaryota; Viridiplantae; Streptophyta; Polypodiopsida; Polypodiales; Dryopteridaceae. The record is from RNAcentral.
AAAAUCCGUUGUUUCACGAGACCGUGAGGGUUCAAGUCCCUCUAUCCCCA